AAACCCAGAGCAGACCACCGAAAACACCAACUCCUCUUUUUCUUUUCCUUUUUUCUCUUCUUAACGCGGAGCUAUUUAACUCGCGCGUGCAGCUAACAGAACUCCCAGCUCCGCGCACAUGCAGGCGCGCCCUCCCUGCUCGACUUUGAACUCAACCAAGUUCUGGUUUCUUUCGAGGAAAUCCUCGCAGCGUGGAAACGGUGGAUGAGCUCUUCCGGUGAAGGAUCAGAGGAUGGCGGGGUUCACCUGAAGAAGGGCGGGGAACCGGCGACCCGGAACGCUCGACCUCGACUGGAAGCGGCCCACCCAGUGCGCGUUUGCCCCCCCCCGCCACAUCAGCCGAGGCUUUGUCUGACGAACACCGAAAUGCACCUCUUGGUUCUCUGACUGAACCUUCAGGUCUCACAUCAGAUUAACCCAGAUUCACACACAAAGGCGCAGGUGGUCGCUGCGCAUCCGUUACACCUUUGAAGCCGAAGGGGGGAUCCUGCUGGCGUGAAAGCCUUGACAGGAGAGCAGGGCGACUACACAGGAACUACAUUAGAUUUCACUCCUGAGUCUUCACCACCUCCUCAUGUCAGAGCCCGGACGAUGCUCCGAACACACAGCGCCAGGGAUGGAGACGCUGCCAGAUGAAAUAUUUAAAUGAAAAGUGGCAGCGUGGAGGAGCACCAGAGGAGUGACAGUGUUCAGACGAGGCAAUGAAAGCACCAAAGUUCAGCCCAGAGCGACACUCACAGCACUUCACGGAAGUUUGCAGGACGUAGAAGGAAGGUGGAGACACUGACCUCAUCCUCCAGCCUCCCCCUUUCUCCUGCUCCUUCCUCCUCCUCCCCAGUGCCCGUCUGCGAUCAAAUCAUCGUACGGAGAAAUCCUGCGGAUCCGAUUCCGGCAGAAAGGUCACGCAGAGAGUCCGUAAAAUGGAUGAAGCCUAAUGAUUAGCUCAACCUUUACCUAAUCAAUAAUCAUUUAUCCAACAGUAUCCCCGGCAGCCACAGCCCCAUUCGCCAUUAACCUCUGUGGCGAGGAGAGAGGCAGUAUUGUUUCCUCUGGCAGCUUUAUGGCGCUCCGAUGAGUGGUAGGCCGGUGAGGAGCCUAAGCCCAGAUCUUGAUGGCUGCCAUCCUAUUAAGGGACUGCAGGUAUUUGAGCUUGGCGCUGUCACGUAAUCGCCCCUCCGAGUGAUUGACUGGGACACUCGGCGUGCUCUCCAAUGGGCAGGAAAGUAAAAUAAUCGAGUUUCUCUUGUGUACUUUGGAGCUAAAGGAUGUUCCUGCUUUGGAAGCCUCACAUGAACACCUUCCUUUAGCCCGCGUCACGUUUUGACACUGAACACCGGAAAUAUGGCGGAAUAUUUGGCGACACGGGUAAACGUCCCAGCCCGCGCUCCCCCUUCGCCUCCAGCGCCUGUCUCCUCGGAGUCUCUCCAUGAUGCCAUCUUCAUCAUAACCUCUCCCUUUUUAUUGCCUUUAAUGACUCCUUCUCUCUUUUCAUUAAUUCUUUAUCGAUUUUUUUCCCCGACGUCGCCUGAAUUAUUUUCCAAUUAAGGGCAAACAAAAGGAAAAUGAUUGUGUAUGGACGCCCGUGUUUGGCUGUAAUAUCUGGAGUAUCAGAAUGCAGUUUUUUUUUUGUUUUUUUGCAGGAGUGGUAAAGGUCACCGGGAGCCAACGGCUCUUCCUCUCCUCAGCCGGGCUGGUGAGCGUGCAAAAACGUACACGAGCGUGUAAAAACCGCUGCAUUCUGCACCAACAAAACGCUUUUAAUUUGACGCUUUCAGACAGUGAUGGAGGGGCUCAAUAGCAGAAAGAUUCGGCGGCAAAAUUAGCCUCAGAGGUCCAUCAGACGGUGUAGUUAAUACCCACAGGUCAUUAAUUACAACAAUUAUUCAAACUCAUAUCACAGACACGUAUUGACUUCUGUUUCUAUUUUUCUUUUUUCUUUGGGCUUCUACUUUUCUGAUGAAGCCCCUUAAGGCCUAAUAGGAAGUGUGUAUGUUAAGCAUGUGUGCGCUCCUGUGACUGGACUGGGGAAUGGAAAUGGAUUUUUCUCUGCAUUUGAAUCAUAAGCUGUUUAUUACAGUACGCAGGCGACCGUGCACAGCGGCCGUCCCUCUGUUGUCCAAUUAGAUCCCAUUACUAUGAAGCUGCGUCGGGCAAAGUGACGGCUAAUUAUGUGGGAUGUCACUCAUCAGCCUGACGCAAACACACACAGAGGUGAAGCUUCUCUGUCAGGCUGCAAGUCACAAACAUGACUUGAAUUUAAAAACACGCUCAUUUAAUAAAAAAGAGGAAGAAAUUAACAAAUGCAGGGACAAAUUUUUGGAAAAAUUUGACCAUAAACAGAAUCAAGUUUUAUCAUUUAUUGCUUUUUUAAGUUCAUUAAUCAUCUAUUGCAGAGUAGCUGGAGGGUUCUGGAGGGUUGAAUUUUAAUGGUAAUGAUAAAAAUCAGGUUUGGUAUAAAUAAGUUUCAUUUGUGCAUUUUUUUAUUUUUUAUUUUUGGUUUUAAAAUCAUCUGCA
Non-coding RNA from Oryzias latipes (Japanese medaka), 2514 nucleotides. Lineage: Eukaryota; Metazoa; Chordata; Actinopteri; Beloniformes; Adrianichthyidae. The record is from RefSeq and is a predicted model, not a curated record.